Molecule: ribosomal RNA, 1251 nt
Filed under: Paulownia witches'-broom phytoplasma
Lineage: Bacteria; Bacillati; Mycoplasmatota; Mollicutes; Acholeplasmatales; Acholeplasmataceae
Description: bacterial SSU rRNA
Rfam family: Bacterial small subunit ribosomal RNA
Source: RNAcentral
UGGAAACGACUGCUAAGACUGGAUAGGAGACAAGAAGGCAUCUUCUUGUUUUUAAAAGACCUAGCAAUAGGUAUGCUUAGGGAGGAGCUUGCGUCACAUUAGUUAGUUGGUGGGGUAAAGGCCUACCAAGACUAUGAUGUGUAGCCGGGCUGAGAGGUUGAACGGCCACAUUGGGACUGAGACACGGCCCAAACUCCUACGGGAGGCAGCAGUAGGGAAUUUUCGGCAAUGGAGGAAACUCUGACCGAGCAACGCCGCGUGAACGAUGAAGUAUUUCGGUACGUAAAGUUCUUUUAUUAGGGAAGAAUAAAUGAUGGAAAAAUCAUUCUGACGGUACCUAAUGAAUAAGCCCCGGCUAACUAUGUGCCAGCAGCCGCGGUAAUACAUAGGGGGCAAGCGUUAUCCGGAAUUAUUGGGCGUAAAGGGUGCGUAGGCGGUUAAAUAAGUUUAUGGUCUAAGUGCAAUGCUCAACAUUGUGAUGCUAUAAAAACUGUUUAGCUAGAGUAAGAUAGAGGCAAGUGGAAUUCCAUGUGUAGUGGUAAAAUGCGUAAAUAUAUGGAGGAACACCAGUAGCGAAGGCGGCUUGCUGGGUCUUUACUGACGCUGAGGCACGAAAGCGUGGGGAGCAAACAGGAUUAGAUACCCUGGUAGUCCACGCCGUAAACGAUGAGUACUAAACGUUGGGUAAAACCAGUGUUGAAGUUAACACAUUAAGUACUCCGCCUGAGUAGUACGUACGCAAGUAUGAAACUUAAAGGAAUUGACGGGACUCCGCACAAGCGGUGGAUCAUGUUGUUUAAUUCGAAGGUACCCGAAAAACCUCACCAGGUCUUGACAUGCUUCUGCAAAGCUGUAGAAACACAGUGGAGGUUAUCAGUUGCACAGGUGGUGCAUGGUUGUCGUCAGCUCGUGUCGUGAGAUGUUGGGUUAAGUCCCGCAACGAGCGCAACCCUUAUUGUUAGUUACCAGCACGUAAUGGUGGGGACUUUAGCAAGACUGCCAGUGAUAAAUUGGAGGAAGGUGGGGACGACGUCAAAUCAUCAUGCCCCUUAUGACCUGGGCUACAAACGUGAUACAAUGGCUGUUACAAAGGGUAGCUGAAGCGCAAGUUUUUGGCGAAUCUCAAAAAAACAGUCUCAGUUCGGAUUGAAGUCUGCAACUCGACUUCAUGAAGUUGGAAUCGCUAGUAAUCGCGAAUCAGCAUGUCGCGGUGAAUACGUUCUCGGGGUUUGUACACACCGCCCGUCAAAC